UUUCCCUCAAUUCUUUUUAUUUAUUUUUCUAAUUUCUUUAAAAGAAAGGAUUCCAACUUUAAAAGAAGGGGGCAGAGCGGGAAAGGGGUCAGAGAAAAGCGUGGGUGUCUCGUUUACAAGAUGUACUAGGUACCUUUUGAAAUUUGAUUCACAAAAUACCGCUGUCGUGGAGUGUUAUCUCCUGCCCACUUCGCACAACCUCACCACUGUGUACCUCUAGUGGAGAAGGGAACAGCACACGCUCAUUUCUGUUCAUUUCACACCCAAGGCAUUGGAAAAAAAGGAUAUUCAGCCAUGGGAAAAGGGAAGUUUUCUAUUCCGCGUCUGGAGUGCGGAGAAGGCCAGUAGGAUCUUUGAGCGCGGGUCUACAGAAUGACGGAUAAGGGCGGGGCCAAGGGAAGUGGUGGGCGGGGCCAUGGAGUAGGGGGCGGAGCAAGGGAGGCAAGGAGCCGAGCCUUUCCCCUCUCCUUGUCUCAGAAGCUUAGAGAAAGAACGACCCCUGGGGAUUUAUACCCCUCCCCUUUGUAUCCCCUUUCCACCCUACUUUCCACAAGGAGCAUCCCCCAACUCCCCGACACUAAAUCUCAGUGCGCCCUGCCUUUUCUCCAGCCUGCAGGUGAGGUGCGCUCUGCUCUGCGUUUACUCUCAAGAACAAGGUCAUCUCUCUGGUCCCUCAGACUUCUCAAACUAUGGCUCUAAUGGUCGAGUGUAGUCUCCUCAAAGGUGUGCGCUGAGGCUUGCUCCCAGGGUGAGACUCUCAGGUGGUGGAACUUCGAGAAGUAGGUCCUAGGGGAGGUCCUCAGGUCACUGGGGACUGACUCUCAGAA
RNAcentral lists this long non-coding RNA (827 nucleotides) under Rattus norvegicus (Norway rat). Its description in RNAcentral is "long non-coding RNA NONRATT026285". The record is from RNAcentral. Lineage: Eukaryota; Metazoa; Chordata; Mammalia; Rodentia; Muridae.